AAUGUGAGGGCACGAUUGAAAACUCUGAAAAAAGAAUAUGUUGAAGUUCGUCAGUUGUUAAGUAUGAGUGGUUUUGGGUUAGAUCCUCAUACUGGACGUGUCACAGCCGAUGUACUAGCUUGGGAGGAGUUGUUGAAGGGCAAACCAGAAUUUGGAAAGUGGAGGACCAAACUUUG
This is a long non-coding RNA of Olea europaea var. sylvestris, 176 nucleotides long. RefSeq lists it as uncharacterized. The record is from RefSeq and is a predicted model, not a curated record. The transcript has 2 exons. Lineage: Eukaryota; Viridiplantae; Streptophyta; Magnoliopsida; Lamiales; Oleaceae.